Molecule: ribosomal RNA, 253 nt
Filed under: uncultured bacterium
Lineage: Bacteria
Description: partial 16S ribosomal RNA
Rfam family: Bacterial small subunit ribosomal RNA
Source: RNAcentral
UACGGGGGGGGCAAGCGUUGUUCGGAAUUACUGGGCGUAAAGGGCGCGUAGGCGGCCUGCUAAGUCACACGUGAAAUCCCUCGGCUCAACCGGGGAACCGCGUGUGAUACUGGCGGGCUUGAAUUCGGGAGAGGGAUGUGGAAUUCCAGGUGUAGCGGUGAAAUGCGUAGAUAUCUGGAGGAACACCGGUGGCGAAGGCGGCAUCCUGGACCAUUACUGACGCUGAGGCGCGAAAGCUAGGGGAGCAAACGGG